RNAcentral lists this ribosomal RNA (387 nucleotides) under Chlorothrix sp. (in: green algae). RNAcentral describes it as "Chlorothrix sp. partial small subunit ribosomal RNA". It matches the Rfam family "Eukaryotic small subunit ribosomal RNA", at positions 582 to 975 of the family's 1831-position model. The record is from RNAcentral. Lineage: Eukaryota; Viridiplantae; Chlorophyta; Ulvophyceae; Ulotrichales; Ulotrichaceae.
AUUCCAGCUCCAAUAGCGUAUAUUUAAGUUGUUGCAGUUAAAAAGCUCGUAGUUGGAUUUCGGGUGGGUACCGCCGGUCUCCCACUGGGUAUGUACUGGCGUGGCCCGCCUUGCUGUCGGGGACAAUCUCCUGGGCUUUACUGUCCGGGAAUUGGAGUCGACGAUGUUACUUUGAGUAAAUUAGAGUGUUCAAAGCAAGCCUACGCUCUGAAUAUAAUAGCAUGGGAUAACACGACAGGACUCUGGCCUAUCGUGUUGGUCUGUAGGACCGGAGUAAUGAUUAAGAGGGACAGUCGGGGGCAUUCGUAUUCCAUUGUCAGAGGUGAAAUUCUUGGAUUUAUGGAAGACGAACAUCUGCGAAAGCAUUUGUCAAGGAUGUUUUCAUUA